This is a non-coding RNA of Cyanistes caeruleus (blue tit), 235 nucleotides long. The record is from RefSeq and is a predicted model, not a curated record. Lineage: Eukaryota; Metazoa; Chordata; Aves; Passeriformes; Paridae.
CAGAGAUUGCCCUGGUGCCCAGCAAACCUGAGAAAGUGGCUCCUUCACGCCAGGAUAUCUUCCAAGAACAACUGGCAGCCAUCCCAGAAUUCAAGGGCCUGGGUCCUUUAUUCAAAUCCUCAGAGGCAGUGCAGCUGACAGAAGCAGAAACAGAAUAUUUCGUUCGCUGCAUCAAACACAUCUUCCCAAACCACAUCGUUUUCCAGUUUUCAUCAAACACAUCUUCCCAAACCAC